This is a long non-coding RNA of Ostrea edulis (European flat oyster), 580 nucleotides long. RefSeq lists it as uncharacterized. The record is from RefSeq and is a predicted model, not a curated record. The transcript has 3 exons. Lineage: Eukaryota; Metazoa; Mollusca; Bivalvia; Ostreida; Ostreidae.
AGCACCCACACUAAGAGGAGCAGGUACACCUAUACAAAAAGUAACAAUCCUGUGGUAAACCUGAGGCCUGGUAUUCUUUAGAGUCUCAAUCCUAUAAGUUAUUAUAAGACACAAAUAUUCAAAACAUUUAACACCCAAUCAUUAUCACUUCUGAACCCACCCCUGCAGUUAGAUCUUGUUUGUUGUCUAUUUCCGGUGACUAUUUUGACUUAUGCAGUGGAUGGGCAGUUCUCAAUGUUUCAAUGAUGUCACUCCUAUAAAUACUACUGGUGGUCAAGAGCAUGCCCAUGCCUAUAUCCACCUGAGGUUCUUACAGGAUAUCAAUUGUACAGCUAGCAAAAAGGACAAGAAAAUCGAAUCAUGAAUCACUCUAGAUAAGAGUACAGAGAAAUCGAACAGCUGCAGUACAUUUCUUAAUGACGAAGGAGUGGUUGUUUCAUACCAAUGUCAUACAGCACGAUCAGGAACUCUUCUUCGGGGAGGCCGUAGAAGUACUUGGGCUGGUCCAGCAUGGAAUACAGGCUACUCCCAUCGCAGAACUCCAUCGCCAAAACAUAGUUGUUGGAAGUAAUCUGGAAAA